UUUUUUAUAGUGUAUAAAACAUAUUACAUUUUCGAUGUAAAGCUGAAGACUCCUUCUUCUAAAAAUA
Molecule: transfer RNA, 67 nt
Filed under: Cherax bicarinatus
Lineage: Eukaryota; Metazoa; Arthropoda; Malacostraca; Decapoda; Parastacidae
Description: tRNA-Glu
Source: RNAcentral